UACGGGGGGGGCAAGCGUUGUUCGGAAUUAUUGGGCGUAAAGAGCUCGUAGGCGGUGUGUCGCGUCGGUCGUGAAAACUUGGGGCUUAACCCUGAGCUUGCGGUCGAUACGGGCAUCACUGGAGUUCGGCAGGGGAGACUGGAAUUCCUGGUGUAGCGGUGAAAUGCGCAGAUAUCAGGAGGAACACCGGUGGCGAAGGCGGGUCUCUGGGCCGAUACUGACGCUGAGGAGCGAAAGCGUGGGGAGCGAACAGG
RNAcentral lists this ribosomal RNA (254 nucleotides) under uncultured bacterium. RNAcentral describes it as "partial 16S ribosomal RNA". It matches the Rfam family "Bacterial small subunit ribosomal RNA", at positions 524 to 776 of the family's 1533-position model. The record is from RNAcentral.